This 300-nucleotide unclassified non-coding RNA is filed under the name uncultured Agaricales. RNAcentral's name for it is "sequence contains 5.8S rRNA gene, ITS2". The stretch from base 1 to 71 matches the Rfam family "5.8S ribosomal RNA", at positions 84 to 154 of the family's 154-position model. The record is from RNAcentral. Lineage: Eukaryota; Fungi; Basidiomycota; Agaricomycetes; Agaricales.
GUGAGUCAUCGAAUCUUUGAACGCACCUUGCGCUCCUUGGUAUUCCGAGGAGCAUGCCUGUUUGAGUGUCAUUAAAUUCUCAACCUUACCAGCUUUUACGAGUUUUGGUAAUGGCUUGGAUGUGGGGGUCUUUUGCUGGCUUCAUCAAGAGGUCUGCUCCCCUUAAAUGCAUUAGUGGAAUCCUUUGUGGACCGUCACUUGGUGUGAUAAUUAUCUAUGCCAUCUUGACUUUGAAGCAAAACUUAUGGGAAUCCGCUCAUAACCGUCUUCGGACAAUCAUUGACAUUUUGACCUCAAAUC